CCUACGGGUGGCAGCAGUAGGGAAUUUUCGUCAAUGGGCGCAAGCCUGAACGAGCAAUGCCGCGUGAACGAGGAAGGUCUUCGGAUCGGAAAGUUCUGUUUAAGGGGAAAAAGAGCGGAGAGAGGAUAUGCUUUCUGAUUGAUAUUACCCUUCGAGGAAGUCACGGCUAACAACGUGCCAGCAGCCGCGGUAAUACGUAGGUGGCGAGCGUUAUCCGGUUUGAUUGGGCGUAAGGGGUGCGUAGGCGGCCUGCUAAGUCUGGAGUGAAAGGUACCGGCUCAACCGGUACAGGCUCUGGAAACUGGCGGGCUAGAGAGCAGGAGAGGGAGGUGGAAUGCCAGGUGUAGCGGUAAAAUGCGUAGAUAU
RNAcentral lists this ribosomal RNA (366 nucleotides) under uncultured bacterium. RNAcentral's name for it is "partial 16S ribosomal RNA". It matches the Rfam family "Bacterial small subunit ribosomal RNA", at positions 338 to 697 of the family's 1533-position model. The record is from RNAcentral.